GACGAACGCUGGCGGCGUGCUUAACACAUGCAAGUCGAACGGAAAGGCCCUGCUUUUGUGGGGUGCUCGAGUGGCGAACGGGGGAGUAACACGUGAGUAACCUGCCCUUGACUGUGGGAUAACUUCAGGAAACUGGGGCUAAUACCGGAUAGGAGCUCCUGCUGCAUGGUGGGGGUUGGAAAGUUUCGGCGGUUGGGGAUGGACUCGCGGCUUAUCAGCUUGUUGGUGGGGUAGUGGCUUACCAAGGCUUUGACGGGUAGCCGGCCUGGGAGGGUGACCGGCCACCUUGGGACUGAGAUACGGCCCAGACUCCUACGGGAGGCAGCAGUGGGGAAUAUUGCACAAUGGGCGGAAGCCUGAUGCAGCAACGCCGCGUGCGGGAUGACGGCCUUCGGGUUGUAAACCGCUUUCGCCUGUGACGAAGCGUGAGUGACGGUAAUGGGUAAAGAAGCACCGGCUAACUACGUG
This 468-nucleotide ribosomal RNA is filed under the name uncultured bacterium. Its description in RNAcentral is "partial 16S ribosomal RNA". It matches the Rfam family "Bacterial small subunit ribosomal RNA", at positions 28 to 507 of the family's 1533-position model. The record is from RNAcentral.